This 127-nucleotide small RNA is filed under the name Marmota monax (woodchuck). The record is from RNAcentral. Lineage: Eukaryota; Metazoa; Chordata; Mammalia; Rodentia; Sciuridae.
GCCAGGCAUGGUGGUGCAUGCCUGUAAUUCCAGAGGCUCUGGAGGCUGAGGAAGGAGGACUGCAGGUUCAAGGCCAGCCUCAGCAAUUUAGUGAGGCCCUACACAACUUAGUGAGAUCCUGUCUCUA